AUUGAACGCUGGCGGCAUGCUUUACACAUGCAAGUCGAACGGUAACAGGCCUUCGGGUGCUGACGAGUGGCGAACGGGUGAGUAAUGCAUCGGAACGUGCCCAAUCGUGGGGGAUAACGUAGCGAAAGUUACGCUAAUACCGCAUAAGCCCUGAGGGGGAAAGUGGGGGACCGCAAGGCCUCACGCGAAUGGAGCGGCCGAUGUCAGAUUAGCUAGUUGGUGGGGUAAAGGCCCACCAAGGCGACGAUCUGUAGCGGGUCUGAGAGGAUGAUCCGCACACUGGGACUGAGACACGGCCCAGACUCCUACGGGAGGCAGCAGUGGGGAAUUUUGGACAAUGGGCGCAAGCCUGAUCCAGCCAUGCCGCGUGCGGGACGAAGGCCUGG
This 386-nucleotide ribosomal RNA is filed under the name uncultured bacterium. RNAcentral describes it as "bacterial SSU rRNA". It matches the Rfam family "Bacterial small subunit ribosomal RNA", at positions 29 to 419 of the family's 1533-position model. The record is from RNAcentral.